CACUGUUAGUGGAGGUGCGCUGAUAGGUUUUCUGUUGUUAUAAAGCAGUGCUUCUCACACUUGAGCAUCACUACAGAUUCUGCUUUAAUAGUGUUGGGAUUCCCAUAGGAUGUCAUUGCUGCUUGUCCAGGGACUACCUGCUGAAGCAAAGUUUUGAGGUUUUAUGAUGAACAGAAUAAAAUGUAUUGUCUUCUCAUGCAGCAGGAGGCCCUGCUGUGCCCUCAGACACCCCCUUCCCCCCUACAAUUGAUUGAUUUUCACAUCUUGAGCCAGUUUUGCAACCUUUGAAUAAACCCCAUUUGAUUAUGGCA
Long non-coding RNA from Lontra canadensis (Northern American river otter), 311 nucleotides. RefSeq lists it as uncharacterized. NCBI's taxonomy places the organism in Eukaryota, Metazoa, Chordata, Mammalia, Carnivora, Mustelidae. The record is from RefSeq and is a predicted model, not a curated record. The transcript has 2 exons.